RNAcentral lists this long non-coding RNA (261 nucleotides) under Mytilus galloprovincialis (Mediterranean mussel). The record is from RNAcentral. Lineage: Eukaryota; Metazoa; Mollusca; Bivalvia; Mytilida; Mytilidae.
GAUAAACUUCACCAACUACUUAACAAAAUAUGGAAUGACGAACAUAUACCUGAUGACUGGCGUAAAGGAAUCCUCAUUAAAGUACCAAAGAAAGGCGACAAAUCAAUCUGUAGCAAUUGGAGAGGAAUUAUUUUGCUUUCCAUUCCUAGCAAAGUCCUAUGUCACAUCAUCCUACAGAGGUUAAAGAAAGAAGUUGAUAAGUUACUAAGAGACGAACAGGCCGGUUUCAGACAAGAGAGAUCAUGCAUUGACCAAAUUGCC